UUGCCUACGGGAGGCAGCAGUGGGGAAUAUUGCACAAUGGGGGAAACCCUGAUGCAGCAACGCCGCGUGGGUGAAGGAGCGUUUCGGCGCGUAAAGCCCUGUCAGCGGGGAAGAAGAAAGACGGUACCCGACCAAGAAGCCCCGGCUAACUACGUGCCAGCAGCCGCGGUACUACGUAGGGGGCGCGCGUUAUCCGGAAUUACUGGGUGUAUAGGGAGCGUUGACGGCGAGUGAAGCCUGAAGUGGAAGCCCGCGGCCCCACCGCGGAACUGCUUUGGGAACUUGUUUGCUGGAGUAUGGGAGGG
RNAcentral lists this ribosomal RNA (305 nucleotides) under uncultured bacterium. RNAcentral describes it as "bacterial SSU rRNA". It matches the Rfam family "Bacterial small subunit ribosomal RNA", at positions 335 to 656 of the family's 1533-position model. The record is from RNAcentral.